GAGAGGGAGAGGGUGGAAGAGAGACAGAGAGAGAGAGAGACAGAGAGACGGAGAGAGAGGGAGAGAGAGAGAGAGAGAGAGAGAUAGGGAGAGACAGAGAGAGACAGAGACAGAUAGGAGCGAGGGUCAUCCCUCAGCAUGAUUCUCAGCUCCCUCCUCAUCCUCCUCGGGACUCUGGUUAUGGCGAUCAAGAGGCCGGGUACGCUGGCCUUCCGGAACCAGGCAGGGGAUAACCAGAGGCAAGAGGCUGGAGACACCACAAUGGGUUUCCAACUCUUUGGCCUUUUCUUAAUCGUGUCCCUCCUGUUGCUGGUUCUCAUUGGGAUUUAUUGCUCCUGUGCUCACUGUUGCCCUCGAAGUAGACUGUACCACAGGCCCAUCUGAUGAUACCCCACCUCACCACCAGCCGCAGCCAGAUUCAUCACAUCCCCCCAGAAACCCUGCCAGUCUCCACAUUCUCCAAGAUGCACGGACAUCAUCAGCACACCCAGGACUCUCCGAUGUGCAAGAGCAUCACCAAUGUCCAGACGAGGUGGGCUGGUCAUUACUCUCGCGUUGGCACUUUGAUACCCUCGGAGCAGAAGCACGACUCAACUGCCCAGGCUCAGCACUGUAUGGAUUAAUUGCGCCCUUGUUCUGUCCUCUGUGUAAUCUUACCUGUUGCAAUAAACCUCGCUAUGAUGCGCUUAGCCUGAAACUGGUUGCUUGGGGUAAGGCUGUUGGAGGCCGAAGCACAUCGCGGGACAGACCGCGUGCCCUGCCAGGCGUUACGUCCGUGAGGGUGACACACCUUUUGGGCCCUAGGUGGAGGAGCGCCAUUGGUCAUGUGACGGCCCGGGGACCAAUCAGCUCUACGUGUCACACCACGAGGGUCCUCGAUCAGCAUGAUUCUCAGCUCCUUCCUCAUCCUCCUCGGGACUCUGGGUAUGGCGAUCAAGAGGCCAGGUACGCUGGCCUUCCAGAACCAGGCAGGGGAUAACCAGAGGCAAGAGGCUGGAGACACCACAAUGGGUUUCCAACUCUUUGGCCUUUUCUUAAUCGUGUCCCUCCUGUUGCUGGUUCUCAUUGGGAUUUAUUGCUCCUGUGCUCACUGUUGCCCUCGAAGUAGACUGUACCACAGGCCCAUCUGAUGAUACCCCACCUCACCACCAGCCGCAGCCAGAUUCAUCACAUCCCCCCAGAAACCCUGCCAGUCUCCACAUUCUCCAAGAUGCACGGACAUCAUCAGCACACCCAGGACUCUCCGAUGUGCAAGAGCAUCACCAAUGUCCAGACGAGGCGGGCUGGUCAUUACUCUCGCGUUGGCACUUUGAUACCCUCGGAGCAGAAGCACGACUCAACUGCCCAGGCUCAGCACUUUAUGGAUUAAUUGCGCCCGUGUUCUGUCCUCUGUGUAAUCUUACCUGUUGCAAUAAACCUCGCUAUGAUGCGCUUAGCCUGAAA
This is a long non-coding RNA of Carcharodon carcharias (great white shark), 1443 nucleotides long. RefSeq lists it as uncharacterized. The record is from RefSeq and is a predicted model, not a curated record. NCBI's taxonomy places the organism in Eukaryota, Metazoa, Chordata, Chondrichthyes, Lamniformes, Lamnidae. The transcript has 6 exons.